GAUGCUGUGGUGUAGUGGUUAUCACGUUAGCCUUACACACUAAAGGUCUCCAAUUCGAUCCUGGGCAGUAUCA
RNAcentral lists this transfer RNA (73 nucleotides) under Theobroma cacao (cacao). Its description in RNAcentral is "tRNA Tc04v2_g008900". It matches the Rfam family "tRNA". From Rfam's summary of the family: Transfer RNA (tRNA) molecules are approximately 80 nucleotides in length. Their secondary structure includes four short double-helical elements and three loops (D, anti-codon, and T loops). The record is from RNAcentral. Lineage: Eukaryota; Viridiplantae; Streptophyta; Magnoliopsida; Malvales; Malvaceae.